Molecule: ribosomal RNA, 253 nt
Filed under: uncultured bacterium
Lineage: Bacteria
Description: partial 16S ribosomal RNA
Rfam family: Bacterial small subunit ribosomal RNA
Source: RNAcentral
UACGUAGGGGCCUAGCGUUGUCCGGAAUUACUGGGCGUAAAGCGCGUGUAGGCUGCUCGGAAAGUCGGAUGUGAAAGCCCUGGGCUUAACCUAGGAAGUGCAUUCGAAACUUCCGAGCUGGAGUUCUGGAGAGGAAGGCGGAAUUCUCGGUGUAGAGGUGAAAUUCGUAGAUAUCGAGAGGAACACCGGUGGCGAAGGCGGCCUUCUGGACAGUGACUGACGCUGAGACGCGAAAGCGUGGGGAGCAAACAGG